Molecule: transfer RNA, 63 nt
Filed under: Sycophila sp. 2 JXW-2020
Lineage: Eukaryota; Metazoa; Arthropoda; Insecta; Hymenoptera; Eurytomidae
Description: tRNA-Gly
Source: RNAcentral
AUUUAUAUAGUAUAAUUAGUACAAUUAAUUUCCAAUUAAUAAGUUUAAAUUUUAAUAUAAAUA